CAGGCACCUCCAUGAUGGUCUGAGACAGCUGCUUAUAGUUAUGGAGAAGAAGGGCCCUGGGGGCAUACCCCCUAGGUCCUGAUUUCAGAUCCCUGCUCUUUCCUGGAGGACGGGCCGUGGCGCUUCCUUGUGACACACCGUCUCUCACAGCUCUGGCUUCCUUACCUGGAAAGCAGAGCUCUGAAUAAUUCCCUGAUCAGAUGGCAUGCGACCUGUGGUUGUCAUGGAUCCAACGUCAUGAAUGAGCUUCAGAAGGAAGGGAAAGCCACACCAGUUCCCUCGGUACCUCUCGGCGGCUGUGUCAUCGGGAAAGACCCCAAAAUGUGUCCGAGGAAGGUGCCAGGUGCUGCUCACAAAGCCUUGCAUGGAGCUGGUGGCUGGACUUGAGUUACAGCUGUGCCUCCGUUCCGGGCCUGGCUUCUGAACCUCCUAGUGGAUCCUUUGAUGUGUGUGCAUUUUCCCAGCUUGGAGAUGUUGCUGGCAGACUGCAUGGUUGGCAGGAGCGAGGCAGAGCAUUGGCCCUCUGCGGAACUGGCAGGGAACAGGGUCUUGAGAUGCGUCAUCUUCUGUGUUGCUGUGGAAGCACAUUGUGUUUGUGUGGCGUGUGACCUCAGUCUAUGCAGCUGGAGACCCCUGGCCUGGGUUACAGCUGAUACGGAAACAAGUGAUACUGACCUUGGCAAGGCUCUUCCUGCUGCCCUGGGAGCUCAGCCCGCUCACCCUGUAUCUGCAGACUCCAUUGGAGGACGUGGUCCUUCCCAACCCGCAAUGCUCCCGCCUCACCUAAGACCUUCCCUGUGGCCAUGGAAACAACUCGGCCAUAUCUGGAUGGAUAGGCAGCAGAGAAAACCAACUGGGCUUAGGAAUAUUAGUGUAAUUUAUGCAACAAAUGUUUUUAUGUUCAGAGAUAGAAUUAUAAAUCUCUUUUACAUAUUCAUAUGCAAAUGUGGAGCAGCUCCAGUACUCCCAUAAUGGAUGAGCGUCUGUAAUGACUUGUGUCCUAGUCAAGUUUAAUGGAGGAGGGAAAAAUAAACACACACACACACCCAAACCAGAGUUACAUUGGGUCUGAUUACAGGGCACAGAAGUAAAAGGUGUUGGUGGAAAAUUCACCGCUCUUAGAGAACAUGCAUCAGACAGAGUCGACUCUAAAGGUUUAAUAGCUGAAUAAUUAUUUACAGUCAACAAUUCUCAACUAUUAAUGGACUUCGCCUUGCUGACUCCUACCAUUCAGUCAUUUCACUCCUUGCCUUCAUCAUAG
Molecule: long non-coding RNA, 1261 nt
Organism: Capra hircus (goat)
Lineage: Eukaryota; Metazoa; Chordata; Mammalia; Artiodactyla; Bovidae
Source: Ensembl